UCCCUGGUACUUAAGAGGGUAAAGAACUUGCCUGCAAUGCAGGAGACUCAGGUUCAAUACCUGGGUGGGGAA
This 72-nucleotide transfer RNA is filed under the name Ovis aries (sheep). It matches the Rfam family "tRNA". From Rfam's summary of the family: Transfer RNA (tRNA) molecules are approximately 80 nucleotides in length. Their secondary structure includes four short double-helical elements and three loops (D, anti-codon, and T loops). The record is from Rfam by way of RNAcentral. Lineage: Eukaryota; Metazoa; Chordata; Mammalia; Artiodactyla; Bovidae.